GACGAACGCUGGCGGCGUGCCUAAUACAUGCAAGUUGAGCGCUGAAGGUUGGUCCUUGUACCAACUGGAUGAGCAGCGAACGGGUUAGUAACGCGUGGGGAAUCUGCCUUUGAGCGGGGGACAACAUUUGGAAACGAAUGCUAAUACCGCAUAAAAACUUUAAACACAAGUUUUAAGUUUGAAAGAUGCAAUUGCAUCACUCAAAGAUGAUCCCGCGUUGUAUUAGCUAGUUGGUGAGGUAAAGGCUAACCAAGGCGAUGAUACAUAGCCGACCUGAGAGGGUGAUAGGUCACAAUGGGACUGAGACACGGCCCAAACUACUGCGGGAGGCAGCAGUAGUGGAUCUUCGGCAAUGGACGAAAGUCUGACCGAGCAACGCCGCGCGAGUGAAGAAGGCUUUCGGAUCGUAAAACUCUGUUGGUAGAGAAGAACGUUGGUGAGAGUGGAAAGCUCAUAAAGUGAAGGUAACUAACCAGAAAGGGACGGCUAACUACGUG
Molecule: ribosomal RNA, 497 nt
Filed under: uncultured bacterium
Lineage: Bacteria
Description: partial 16S ribosomal RNA
Rfam family: Bacterial small subunit ribosomal RNA
Source: RNAcentral